GUGAGUCAUCGAGUCUUUGAACGCACCUUGCACCAUGUGAGCAAUUGCAUGGUAUACCUGUUUGAGAAUCGUAAAAACCUCUUUCCCACCGCAAGGUGGGAGAUUUGUCGGUUGUGCCCCUCACGGUGGUACUCUGAUCAAAAGCAGUAGGUCCGGAUCAGGCUAGUGGCCUGGGACAUUGUGUGCUAGAGACGUUGGCCUUGUGCCUGCAGUCUUCUCACAGUGCGUCCUAGGCCAUCAAGCUAACCUGGUCAAUCGGGUCUGUACAGUGAGUGAGCCUAGGCCUAACGGCUUGGUGCUCAUAACCAACCCCACACUUUUGAUCUCAAAUCAGGUAAGGCUACCCGCUGAACUUAAGCAUAUCAAUAAGCGGAGG
RNAcentral lists this ribosomal RNA (376 nucleotides) under uncultured fungus. RNAcentral's name for it is "eukaryotic LSU rRNA". The stretch from base 321 to 376 matches the Rfam family "Eukaryotic large subunit ribosomal RNA", at positions 1 to 56 of the family's 3401-position model. Lineage: Eukaryota; Fungi. The record is from RNAcentral.